RNAcentral lists this ribosomal RNA (443 nucleotides) under Alcaligenes aquatilis. RNAcentral's name for it is "bacterial SSU rRNA". It matches the Rfam family "Bacterial small subunit ribosomal RNA", at positions 1024 to 1470 of the family's 1533-position model. The record is from RNAcentral. Lineage: Bacteria; Pseudomonadati; Pseudomonadota; Betaproteobacteria; Burkholderiales; Alcaligenaceae.
GAACUGGAACACAGGUGGCGGAUUGCUGUUGUUCAGCUCGUGUCGUGAGGAUGUUGGGUUAAAGUCCCGCCACGAGCGCAACCCCUUGUCAUUAGUUGCUACGCAAGAGCACUCUAAUGAGACUGCCGGUGACAAACCGGAGGAAGGUGGGGAUGACGUCAAGUCCUCAUGGCCCUUAUGGGUAGGGCUUCACACGUCAUACAAUGGUCGGGACAGAGGGUCGCCAACCCGCGAGGGGGAGCCAAUCUCAGAAACCCGAUCGUAGUCCGGAUCGCAGUCUGCAACUCGACUGCGUGAAGUCGGAAUCGCUAGUAAUCGCGGAUCAGAAUGUCGCGGUGAAUACGUUCCCGGGUCUUGUACACACCGCCCGUCACACCAUGGGAGUGGGUUUCACCAGAAGUAGGUAGCCUAACCGUAAGGAGGGCGCUAUCACGGUGGAUUAU